GUGCGGUAAGAGCGCACCAGCAGCAUCGAGAGGUGCUGGCUCGGUAAACCCCGGUUGGAAGCAAGGUCGAAGGAGCAACGGUUGGUCUUUUACCGGCUCCGAGGUGGGGAAACCUACCUGCCAAUCCGCUUGAGGUGUUUGGUAACAAACAUCCUAGAUAGAUAACCGCCCUGUUUGACCAUCGGGUCACACCGAUGGUCAAAGAGAACAGAACCCGGCUUACGUCCGCCUCUUCCU
This 237-nucleotide RNase P RNA is filed under the name Synechococcales cyanobacterium M55_K2018_004. RNAcentral describes it as "Bacterial RNase P class A". It matches the Rfam family "Bacterial RNase P class A", at positions 162 to 367 of the family's 367-position model. Rfam says of the family: Ribonuclease P (RNase P) is a ubiquitous endoribonuclease, found in archaea, bacteria and eukarya as well as chloroplasts and mitochondria. Its best characterised activity is the generation of mature 5'-ends of tRNAs by cleaving the 5'-leader elements of precursor-tRNAs. Lineage: Bacteria; Bacillati; Cyanobacteriota; Cyanophyceae; Synechococcales. The record is from Rfam by way of RNAcentral.